Haliotis rubra (blacklip abalone) is the source of this 1774-nucleotide long non-coding RNA. RefSeq lists it as uncharacterized. The record is from RefSeq and is a predicted model, not a curated record. Lineage: Eukaryota; Metazoa; Mollusca; Gastropoda; Lepetellida; Haliotidae. The transcript is spliced from 3 exons.
UCAGAUCACUUCGUUUGUCAUCUGUACACCUGGCUGACAGACUGUACUACCUAUAGUCAGGUCACUUCGUCAUCUGUACUCCUGGCUGACAGACUGUACUACCUAUAGUCAGGUCACUUCGUUAGUCAUCUGUACACCUGGCUGACAGACUGUACUACCUGUAGUCAGGUCACUUCAUCAUCUGUACACCUGGCUGACAGACUGUACUACCUAUAGUCAGGUCACUUCGUUAGUCAUCUGUACACCUGGCUGACAGACUGUACUACCUGUAGUCAGGUCACUUCGUCAUCUGUACACCUGGCCUACAGACUUUACUACCUGUAAUCAAGUUUCCUAAAACAUUGUUCAAUUCUAGUGGAUGUUAGUUGAUGCACCCAAUGGAGGCUUUAAUACACUACUUGUAUUGGCUGAUCAUAUAUUGUAGCAGUUGUGCAGUGCUGUGUGUCCAGGUAGUCUUCUUCAAUAUUAUAAGAGGCUUCUUUCUCUAUUUGUUUGUUUCCAAAUCUGAGUUUGAUUCAAUUGACUUGUUAUGUUUUUACCGGGGACUGUUUCUCAUUCAGCUGUGUCUGAUGAUGUGCAAGUCUGAGUAUUGAUGUCAGGAUAAAAACAAUACUAUUUACACCCAUUACAACCCAUGCUUGAAGUAAGAGGUGAACAUAUUUCCAGCCACAUCUGUGGCCGUAUGCAUAUCUCCGGCGUACGUCCUAUUCCGGGCGUAAAUGUGAACUGCACCCAAGUGCAAAUCUACGCCCUACUGCAUAUCCAUGACGUUGGAAAAGUUGCACCUUACUUUACGUCCCAGAGUAGGUGGCGUAAGCAAGGCGUAACUGAGCAAUGGCGGCCGUAGUCUAUCAACACCGCAGAAGGCACAGAAACCGGAUAUUCAGAGACAGAACGAACCGUUGGAAUUGUUUGACGAUCUGCAGCUCCAUAGUCAGACUCAGAUACUGUUUACUCGUAAACUAUUUACCUGAAAUACUUUAAAGGUGGGGGUUCAAACCUAUACACAGAUGGGGUGUGACCUCCUUGCCUUGUCAAAGCUGUCUUUCGAUUCAAAGCAAUGCAGUAUUCAAGUACAUUCCAUGAUAUUUCACAAAGUGACUUACCGGUUCAUGAUGAAAUUAAGCCAUAGUGUAUGUAUAUCCAUAGAAGUAUGUUAUGAAGGCUCAUGGUAAAAUGUAUGGUUGCAGGCAGCCUACUAAACAUACAUUUUGAAAAUAUAUUUCUCUUUUCAAAUCCAGAUUUGAAUUUCCCACUGUGUCAGUCAGGUGGCCAGAGUAGGUGCGUUUCCAUAGAUACAAGCCUGUGAGUUGGCUAAAAGUUUCAUUCAGGGUUUCAUAUUUCAGGCAGGCUGUGAAAAUGAUCCCCUCCCCUGACCCCAUGCUGUGCAGGGUUAGAGCUGUACACAUAUUUGAUGCUGACAUCAUGUUGAAGAUUUUAUUUUCAGAAAAUAAGUAAAAUUUGAAAUUUCAUAUAUGCUAUUCAAAUUAAUCUCUUUAGUCAUCAAAAUAUGUAGAGAAAAAGCUAUUUCUAAAAAGUUUAUUCUAGUAGUAAAUUCCAAUUAACCUUUGAUGAUAAGCCAGGUGCCAGGCACCCAUGAUCACAGUCCUGUUACUCAGAUAACAUCUAAACUGCUUAAGAGGUUAAGGCAUUUAGAAGUUGAGUAAAGAAGGAUAACAAUAUAUGGAUGCUUCUUUAUUUAUCAUCGGUUUGCUUGAUGGCGGUGUUAGAACCCACCAUGUUGCUCUAACAGCAAUAAAGAAGUUGGUCAUCC